GUAGUGGUUGUAGCUGGCUCUCUCGAGAGCAUGUGCACACCCGCCAUCUUUAUCUUUCCACCUGUGCACUUCUUGUAGACUUUGGGAUUUGAAAACUUAUCCGGGGCAACUCGGUCGGGAGGAGCUGCUGUAGCAAUANGGCUCUCCUUGACAAGUCUUCAAAGUCUAUGUUUUUCAUAUACCCCAUAGUAUGUAACAGAAUGUAUACAAAUGAGCCUUAGUGCUUAUAAAACUUAUACAACUUUCAACAACGGAUCUCUUGGCUCUCGCAUCGAUGAAGAACGCAGCGAAAUGCGAUAAGUAAUGUGAAUUGCAGAAUUCAGUGAAUCAUCGAAUCUUUGAACGCACCUUGCGCUCCUUGGUAUUCCGAGGAGCAUGCCUGUUUGAGUGUCAUUAAAUUCUCAACCUUAUUAGCUUUUGCUGAUAAUGGCUUGGAUUUGGGGGUCUUUUGCCGGCUUUUAACAAAGUCAGCUCCCCUUAAAUGCAUUAGCUGGUACCCUCUGGUGGAACCGUCUAUUGGUGUGAUAAUUAUCUACGCCGUGGACAUCUGCCCUUAGAGUAGGUGUGCUGCUUCUAACCGUCUGUUCAUUCGGACAAUACAUAUGACAUUUUGACCUCAAA
This 621-nucleotide ribosomal RNA is filed under the name Kuehneromyces mutabilis. Its description in RNAcentral is "eukaryotic LSU rRNA". The stretch from base 240 to 393 matches the Rfam family "5.8S ribosomal RNA". The record is from RNAcentral. Lineage: Eukaryota; Fungi; Basidiomycota; Agaricomycetes; Agaricales; Kuehneromycetaceae.